RNAcentral lists this ribosomal RNA (573 nucleotides) under Naganishia globosa. Its description in RNAcentral is "partial large subunit ribosomal RNA". It matches the Rfam family "Eukaryotic large subunit ribosomal RNA", at positions 53 to 621 of the family's 3401-position model. The record is from RNAcentral. Lineage: Eukaryota; Fungi; Basidiomycota; Tremellomycetes; Filobasidiales; Filobasidiaceae.
GAGGAAAAGAAACUAACAAGGAUUCCCCUAGUAACGGCGAGUGAAGCGGGAAGAGCUCAAAUUUGAAAUCUGGUAGCCUUCGGUUGCCCGAGUUGUAAUCUAGAGAAGUGUUUUCCGCGUUGGCCCAUGUACAAGUCCCUUGGAACAGGGCGUCAUAGAGGGUGAGAAUCCCGUCCUUGACAUGGACCCCCAAUGCUUUGUGAUACACUUUCAACGAGUCGAGUUGUUUGGGAAUGCAGCUCAAAAUGGGUGGUGAAUUCCAUCUAAAGCUAAAUAUUGGCGAGAGACCGAUAGCGAACAAGUACCGUGAGGGAAAGAUGAAAAGCACUUUGGAAAGAGAGUUAAACAGUACGUGAAAUUGUUGAAAGGGAAACGAUUGAAGUCAGUCAUGCUCUUUGGAUUAAGCCGUUCUGCGGUGUAUUUCAUUGAGCGGGGUCAACAUCAGUUUUGAUCGCUGGAAAAGGGCAGGAGGAAGGUAGCACUCUCGGGUGAACUUAUAGCCUCUUGUCGUAUACAGUGAUUGGGACUGAGGAACGCAGCAUGCCUUUUGGCCGGGAUUCGUCCACGUACAUG